RNAcentral lists this ribosomal RNA (307 nucleotides) under uncultured eukaryote. RNAcentral's name for it is "partial 18S ribosomal RNA". It matches the Rfam family "Eukaryotic small subunit ribosomal RNA", at positions 1470 to 1796 of the family's 1831-position model. The record is from RNAcentral.
CCCUUAGAUGUUCUGGGCCGCACGCGUGCUACACUGAGUGGAUCAGCGGGUCAGGUUGCGCGAAAGUGUUUCCUAAUCUUGAAAUCCGCUCGUGAUGGGGAUUGACGGUUGCAAUUUUCCGUCAUGAACGAGGAAUACCUUGUAAGCGCGGGUCAUCAUCCCGCGCUGAAUACGUCCCUGCCCUUUGUACACACCGCCCGUCGCUCCUACCGAUUGAGUGAGCCGAUGAAACUGCCGGAUGUGGACUAUUCAUAGUCUGCAGAAGAUAUUUGAAUCGUAGCGCUUAGAGGAAGGAGAAGUCGUAACA